UAACGCUGGCGGCGUGCCUAACACAUGCAAGUCGGACGAUCAUCUUUGUAGCAUAUGGAAGAUGGGGAGUGCGCACGGGUGAGUAAUACAUAGAUGAUCUGCCUUUCAGACUGGGACAACUCAGGGAAACUUGAGCUAAUACCAGAUAAGACCACAUGAAGGGAUUCACGUGAUCAAACGGGGGAGCAAUUUCCUGCUGGAAGAUGAGUCUAUGUCCUAUCAGUUAGUUGGUGGGGUAACGGCCUACCAAGACGAAGACGGGUAGCCGGCCUGAGAGGGUGAACGGCCACAUUGGGACUGAGACACGGCCCAGACUCCUACGGGAGGCAGCAGUGAGGAAUUUUCCGCAAUGGGCGCAAGCCUGACGGAGCGACGCCGCGUGAGGGGAAUGAAGGUUUUCGGAUCGUAAACCUCUUUUAUCAAGGAAAAAGGCUGUAAUGCUUAUACCAUUGCAGUUUGAUUGUACUUAAUGAAUAAGCCCCGGCUAACUACGUGCCAGCAGCUGC
Molecule: ribosomal RNA, 506 nt
Filed under: uncultured bacterium
Lineage: Bacteria
Description: bacterial SSU rRNA
Rfam family: Bacterial small subunit ribosomal RNA
Source: RNAcentral